RNAcentral lists this long non-coding RNA (276 nucleotides) under Elaeis guineensis (African oil palm). RNAcentral's name for it is "long non-coding RNA (EGUI_LNC049866)". The record is from RNAcentral. Lineage: Eukaryota; Viridiplantae; Streptophyta; Magnoliopsida; Arecales; Arecaceae.
GGCACAACUAGUCUUGUGCCUCUCCACGUCAUUGGGUGUGCCAAAGGCAUCCUCCAACACUUGAAGCAUGUCCUUUGGCUGAGCCGUCUCGAAUCUAUGACUGAACUCGUCGCUCAUGGCAGCCAGUAUGGUACAGCACACCAUGGUCCGAUCACUGAGCCACUUCUGGUAAGUGUCUCUGACUGUUUCACGUGCAUUGACAGCUGGCUCCUCAGGUGCAGGAUCCAUUAUCACAUAUAGGAUCCGUUCAUGCUCCAGGACUAUCUUCAACUUUCG